ACUCCCUGGGGAACUCUGUAGUCAGGGACGGGGGACUCCCGGGCGACGGUCCCAGAGGCGUGACUGGUGCUGUGGCUAUGCCCCAUCUUCAGGUCCAAACUGUCCUGAGGGCUGGAGGCUUGCCUGCAGCACGGACUGGAGGACCCGGCCUCAGAACCACUGACGCAGGAGCUCAGAGGACCUGCGUGUGGAACGAGAUCCCAGGUGACCCACAGGAGAACCUGGGUUCAGUGCUCAGCACCCACAUGACAGCUCACAGCCGCUGGUAACCCUAGUUCCGGAGGUCCAGAUCUCUCAAGACACCGAGUGCACGUGUUACACAGACACGCAUGCAGCCCAUAAUUGGAUCCAGUGGUGGCACAGGCCCAUAAUCCCAGCACUCAGAAG
Mesocricetus auratus (golden hamster) is the source of this 387-nucleotide long non-coding RNA. RefSeq lists it as uncharacterized. The record is from RefSeq and is a predicted model, not a curated record. The transcript is spliced from 3 exons. Lineage: Eukaryota; Metazoa; Chordata; Mammalia; Rodentia; Cricetidae.